Molecule: small RNA, 224 nt
Filed under: Gorilla gorilla gorilla (western lowland gorilla)
Lineage: Eukaryota; Metazoa; Chordata; Mammalia; Primates; Hominidae
Description: Metazoan signal recognition particle RNA (ENSGGOG00000036872.1)
Source: RNAcentral
GCCAGGCGUGGUGGUUCACGCCUGUAAUCCCAGCACUUUGGGAGGCCGAGACGGGUGGGUCACCUGAGGUCAGGAGUUUGAGACCAGCCUAAUGAAACUCUGUCUCUGGCCGGGCUUGGUGGCUCAUGCCCAUAGUCCCAGCCUACUUUGGGAGGCCAAGGUGGGUAGAUCACGAGGUCAGGAGUUCGAGACCAGCCUGGCCAACAUGGUGAAACCCCAUCUCU